GCCUUGGAUUCUUUAAGCCUGCGAGUAGAAUGAAAUUAGAUUCUUGCAAACUGCUCAGUAACACGUGGAUAACCUGCCCUAUGCUCUGGAAUAACCUCGGGAAACUGAGAAUAAUACCGGAUAGAUCACAACGCCUGGAACGGUGUGUGGUUGAAAGAUUACGGCAUAGGAUGGGUCUGCGGCGUAUCAGGUCGUAGGGGGUGUAAACGAAUCCGGACCCUACGGGGUGCAGCAGGCGCGAAAACUUCACACUGCAGGAAACUGUGAUGAGGGAACUCCAAGUGGAUGCACAUAGUGUAUCUCUUUUCUUUACUAUUAAUCGGUAUUGGAAUAAGGGCUGGGAAAGACCGGUGCCAGCCCGCCGCGGUAAUACCGGCAGCUCGAGUGGUCGUCGCUUUUGUUGGGCCUAAAACGUCCGUAGCCGGUUUGGUAAAUCUGUGGGUAAAUCAACUAGCUUAACUAGUUGAAUUCUGCAGAGACUGCCAGUAAAAUCCUGUCAUCCUUUGAGGACCACCAGUUGCGAAGGCGCCACACUAGAACGGAUUCGACGGUCAGGGACGAAGCCUAGGGGCACGAACCGGAUUAGAUACCCGGGUAGUCCUAGGUGUAAACGCUGUGAACUUGGUGUCGGGAGUCCGCAAUGGGCCCCCGGUGCCGGAGUGAAGAUGUUAAGUCACUGCCUGAAAGACGUCUGUCCC
This 698-nucleotide ribosomal RNA is filed under the name uncultured archaeon. RNAcentral describes it as "bacterial SSU rRNA". It matches the Rfam family "Archaeal small subunit ribosomal RNA", at positions 29 to 828 of the family's 1478-position model. The record is from RNAcentral.